This 590-nucleotide ribosomal RNA is filed under the name uncultured bacterium. RNAcentral describes it as "bacterial SSU rRNA". It matches the Rfam family "Bacterial small subunit ribosomal RNA", at positions 338 to 945 of the family's 1533-position model. The record is from RNAcentral.
CCUACGGGAGGCAGCAGUGGGGAAUAUUGGACAAUGGGCGCAAGCCUGAUCCAGCAAUGCCGCGUGAGUGAUGAAGGCCUUAGGGUCGUAAAGCUCUUUUACCAGGGAUGAUAAUGACAGUACCUGGAGAAUAAGCUCCGGCUAACUCCGUGCCAGCAGCCGCGGUAAUACGGAGGGAGCUAGCGUUGUUCGGAAUUACUGGGCGUAAAGCGUACGUAGGCGGUUAUUCAAGUCAGAGGUGAAAGCCCGGGGCUCAACCCCGGAACGGCCUUUGAAACUAGGUAGCUAGAAUCUUGGAGAGGUCAGUGGAAUUCCGAGUGUAGAGGUGAAAUUCGUAGAUAUUCGGAAGAACACCAGUGGCGAAGGCGACUGACUGGACAAGUAUUGACGCUGAGGUACGAAAGCGUGGGGAGCAAACAGGAUUAGAUACCCUGGUAGUCCACGCCGUAAACGAUGAUAACUAGCUGUUCGGGCACUUGGUGCUUGAGUGGCGCAGCUAACGCAUUAAGUUAUCCGCCUGGGGAGUACGGUCGCAAGNUUAAAACCCCAAGGAAUUGACGGCUGAGACNGCGAGACGACGACGAGGAGAG